GAUGAACGCUGGCGGCGUGCCUAAUACAUGCAAGUCGAGCGAACAGAUGAGGAGCUUGCUCCUCUGACGUUAGCGGCGGACGGGUGAGUAACACGUGGAUAACCUACCUAUAAGACUGGGAUAACUUCGGGAAACCGGAUCUAAUACCGGAUAAUAUAUUGAACCGCAUGGUUCAAUAGUGAAAGACGGUUUUGCUGUCACUUAUAGAUGGAUCCGCGCCGCAUUAGCUAGUUGGUAAGGUAACGGCUUACCAAGGCAACGAUGCGUAGCCGACCUGAGAGGGUGAUCGGCCACACUGGAACUGAGACACGGUCCAGACUCCUACGGGAGGCAGCAGUAGGGAAUAUUCCGCAAUGGGCGAAAGCCUGACGGAGCAACGCCGCGUGAGUGAUGAAGGUCUUCGGAUCGUAAAACUCUGUUAUUAGGGAAGAACAAAUGUGUAAGUAAAUAUGCACGUCUUGACGGUACCUAAUCAGAAAGCAACGGCUAACUACGUG
RNAcentral lists this ribosomal RNA (497 nucleotides) under uncultured bacterium. RNAcentral's name for it is "partial 16S ribosomal RNA". It matches the Rfam family "Bacterial small subunit ribosomal RNA", at positions 28 to 507 of the family's 1533-position model. The record is from RNAcentral.